AUUCGACUGAGCGUUGGCUCGUUAGUAUUUUGAAGCCCUUGAAUGUCAAAACAGAUCUUUAUCUCAAAAAUUGUGGCGUGAUCACCGCCCUUACAAUUCCUUAAGUAAGUUAACUUCCACAAAAAAAACUGGUAUGCUAUAAAACCCAGUUACGUCUCAAACUCCGAAGCAGAUCUGAUCUGAGAGUGACGCCUUGCAGUCCGUUAAUACCCGUCAACCAAUUAGCUCACGUUGCAACGAUGUCAUCCACUACCAUUCUGACACUGUGUCUGGUUAUUGCGCUGUUUCGAGUGCAUUCAGCUCAUCCUCUGGAAGAAGAAGCAGUUGUCCCAAGGCCUCUUAUUUCAGGAUGUACGGCCGGGCCAUUAGGCAUGGAGAGUGGAGCGAUCCCGAAU
Long non-coding RNA from Patiria miniata (bat star), 395 nucleotides. RefSeq lists it as uncharacterized. The transcript has 3 exons. The record is from RefSeq and is a predicted model, not a curated record. Lineage: Eukaryota; Metazoa; Echinodermata; Asteroidea; Valvatida; Asterinidae.